This is an RNA transcript of Arachis duranensis, 1568 nucleotides long. It is a transcript of the gene named trihelix transcription factor GT-3b, with no coding region annotated. The record is from RefSeq and is a predicted model, not a curated record. The transcript has 3 exons. Lineage: Eukaryota; Viridiplantae; Streptophyta; Magnoliopsida; Fabales; Fabaceae.
UCUUAUCAAAUACGCAAUUCAUUCACACCUGCCUCUCGUUCACACCACGCCACAUCCCUCGCAAUUCACAAACCUACAUAUAUAUUCUUCUUUUCUUUUUCUCUCUCAUCUCUCUCUCUCUCUCUUCAAAUUCCAUAACCCCCUCAAACAACAUACCUCAAAACCUUUUCCUCAUAUACCAUAUUAAUAUUCAUCACUGCUCCAUGUCCUUCUUCUUUUCCUUUUUCUGGAUGAUUUGAUCUGAUUUAAUUUGAAUUGGAUCUCACUUUCACUUCAAAUCUUUUCUUUUUUCUUUUCGAUAAAUAAUGGAAAGUCAUCAUCUCCAUCAUCAUCAUCAUCAACAACAAUACCCACCGCCACAACGUCAUAAUAUUAGUGCAGCAACAACAACGAGUGCAGGAACUAAUAACAACGUUGUGGUUGUUGAUGUGACAGGAGAUAGUAGGUUCCCUCAAUGGAGCAUCCAAGAAACAAAGGAGUUCCUAAUGAUCCGUGCAGAGCUGGAUCAGACUUUCAUGGAGACAAAGAGGAACAAGCAGCUCUGGGAAGUCAUCUCCAACACCAUGAAAGAAAAGGGUUACCAUCGAAGCGCUGAGCAGUGCAAGUGCAAGUGGAAAAACCUUGUUACCCGUUAUAAGGGAUGUGAAACGAUGGAGGCAGAAGCAAUGAGGCAGCAAUUCCCAUUCUACAACGAGCUUCAAGCUAUCUUCACCGAUAGAAUGCAGAGGAUGCUUUGGGCCGAAACAGAAGGCGGAGGCGGAGGAGGAGGUUCUUCUAAUAACAAGAAGAAAGCUGCGACAGCGCAGCUGUCUUCGGACGACGAAGAAGAGGAAGAGAGCGAAUUAGGAGAUCCUCAACAAAAGAAUGUAAAGAGAAAGAAAAGAUUAAAGAAGGUUAAGAGGGUGGAAGAUAGUGGUGGUGCGAGUAAUUUGAAGCAUCUGAAGGGGAUUCUGGAGGAGUUUAUGAGGCAACAGAUGGAGAUGGAGGCGCAAUGGAUGUCGGUGUUUGAGGCGAGGGAGAAUGAUCGGAGGUUGAAGGAGUUGGAAUGGAGGCAGACAAUGGAGGCUUUGGAGAAUCAGAGGAUGAUGAUGGAGCAGAGAUGGAGGGAGAGUGAAGAACAAUGGAGGAUUAGGGAAGAAGCUAGGGCUCAUAAGAGAGAUGCUCUUAUCACUGCACUUCUCAACAAGCUUUCAAGACAACAAGAUCAAUAACCAACUUAGUUAGUUAGAGUUAGUUAUCUUUGUUGGUUAGAACUAACUUCCUUUUCAUACUGUGUUUAUGCUACUGAAUUGCUCAUGAUGAUGAUGAUGAUGAAGCAAAGCUUAAUUUGACACAUUAUGGAGGGCCUAACUAACAACCGAAAACGGGCAAAAAGAAUGAUGGACAAGGCAUUGGCCGCAAGAUAAUGGUUCAUCAUGUUGUCUAUUCCAUAAUGUAUAUGAAGAGCACAGCUUUUAGGUUAAUGGCCCAUUUUUGCUACAAUGGAUACUCAUCACUACUUCUACACAUACACACACACACACACACAAUUACAUUUGUUGCUUUCACUUUAUUUUGAUUAACAUGAA